GAUGAACGCUGGCGGCGUGCCUAAUACAUGCAAGUCGAGCGAACGGACGAGAAGCUUGCUUCUCUGAUGUUAGCGGCGGACGGGUGAGUAACACGUGGAUAACCUACCUAUAAGACUGGGAUAACUUCGGGAAACCGGAGCUAAUACCGGAUAAUAUUUUGAACCGCAUGGUUCAAAAGUGAAAGACGGUCUUGCUGUCACUUAUAGAUGGAUCCGCGCUGCAUUAGCUAGUUGGUAAGGUAACGGCUUACCAAGGCAACGAUGCAUAGCCGACCUGAGAGGGUGAUCGGCCACACUGGAACGGAGACGCGGUCCAGACUCCUACGGGAGGCAGCAGUAGGGAAUCUUCCGCAAUGGGCGAAAGCCUGACGGAGCAACGCCGCGUGAGUGAUGAAGGUCUUCGGAUCGUAAAACUCUGUUAUUAGGGAAGAACAUAUGUGUAAGUAACUGUGCACAUCUUGACGGUACCUAAUCAGAAAGCCACGGCUAACUACGUG
RNAcentral lists this ribosomal RNA (497 nucleotides) under uncultured bacterium. RNAcentral describes it as "partial 16S ribosomal RNA". It matches the Rfam family "Bacterial small subunit ribosomal RNA", at positions 28 to 507 of the family's 1533-position model. The record is from RNAcentral.